RNAcentral lists this long non-coding RNA (203 nucleotides) under Ursus americanus (American black bear). Its description in RNAcentral is "lncRNA (ENSUAMG00000000236.1)". The record is from RNAcentral. Lineage: Eukaryota; Metazoa; Chordata; Mammalia; Carnivora; Ursidae.
GUUUUGUUGUUUUUGCUUUUUUAGCGCUAUAAGAUCGAUAUUAAAGACAUGGUUUUCACCCCUCUUCAUCAACGCAAAUAAGUUCUCUCUUCUUUUUGGACCCCUGUUUUAUACCACAAUGUAUGUCAUUGAAAGUGCCCGACAGAGACCUCCUAAAAGGAAAUACCUGUCUAGUGGAAGGUAUGAAUACUUGAUUGAUAUCU